ACAGGGAUUGCCCUAGUAACGGCGAGUGAAGCGGCAACAGCUCAAAUUUGAAAUCUGGCGUCUUCGGCGUCCGAGUUGUAAUUUGCAGAGGGCGCUUUGGCAUUGGCAGCGGUCCAAGUUCCUUGGAACAGGACGUCACAGAGGGUGAGAAUCCCGUACGUGGUCGCUAGCCUUUACCGUGUAAAGCCCCUUCGACGAGUCGAGUUGUUUGGGAAUGCAGCUCUAAAUGGGAGGUAAAUUUCUUCUAAAGCUAAAUACUGGCCAGAGACCGAUAGCGCACAAGUAGAGUGAUCGAAAGAUGAAAAGCACUUUGGAAAGAGAGUUAAAAAGCACGUGAAAUUGUUGAAAGGGAAGCGCUUGCAGCCAGACUUGCCUGUAGUUGCUCAUCCGGGUUUCUACCCGGUGCACUCUUCUACGGGCAGGCCAGCAUCAGUUUGGGCGGUUGGAUAAAGGUCUCUGUCAUGUACCUCCUUUCGGGGAGAACUUAUAGGGGAGACGACAUGCAACCAGCCUGGACUGAGGUCCGCGCAUCUGCUAGGAUGCUGGCGUAAUGGCUGUAAGCGGCCCGUCUUGAAACACGGACCAAGGAGUCUAACAUCUAUGCGAGUGUUUGGGUGUCAAGCCCGAGCGCGUAAUGAAAGUGAACGGAGGUGGGAACCUUUCGGGGUGCACCAUCGACCGAUCCUGAUGUCUUCGGAUGGAUUUGAGUAAGAGCAUAGCUGUUGGGACCCGAAAGAUGGUGAACUAUGCUUGAAUAGGGUGAAGCCAGAGGAAACUCUGGUGGAGGCUCGCAGCGGUUCUGACGUGCAAAUCGAUCGUCAAAUUUGGGCAUAGGGGCGAAAGACUAAUCGAACUAUCUAGUAGCUGGUUCCUGCCGAAGUUUCCCUCAGGAUAGCAGUAACGUUUUCAGUUUUAUGAGGUAAAGCGAAUGAUUAGAGGACUGGGGGAUGAAACAUCCUU
RNAcentral lists this ribosomal RNA (960 nucleotides) under Epicoccum polychromum. RNAcentral describes it as "partial large subunit ribosomal RNA". It matches the Rfam family "Eukaryotic large subunit ribosomal RNA", at positions 68 to 1048 of the family's 3401-position model. The record is from RNAcentral. Lineage: Eukaryota; Fungi; Ascomycota; Dothideomycetes; Pleosporales; Didymellaceae.